RNAcentral lists this ribosomal RNA (433 nucleotides) under uncultured bacterium. Its description in RNAcentral is "partial 16S ribosomal RNA". It matches the Rfam family "Bacterial small subunit ribosomal RNA", at positions 29 to 507 of the family's 1533-position model. The record is from RNAcentral.
AACGAACGCUGGCGGCAUGCCUAACACAUGCAAGUCGAACGAGACCUUCGGGUCUAGUGGCGCACGGGUGCGUAACGCGUGGGAACCUGCCCUUAGGUUCGGAAUAACUCCCCGAAAGGGGUGCUAAUACCGGAUAAUGUCUUCGGACCAAAGAUUUAUCGCCUUUGGAUGGGCCCGCGUUGGAUUAGCUAGUUGGUAGGGUAACAGCCUACCAAGGCGACGAUCCAUAGCUGGUCUGAGAGGAUGAUCAGCCACACUGGGACUGAGACACGGCCCAGACUCCUACGGGAGGCAGCAGUGGGGAAUAUUGGACAAUGGGCGAAAGCCUGAUGCAGCAAUGCCGCGUGAGUGAUGAAGGCCUUAGGGUUGUAAAGCUCUUUUACCCGGGAUGAUAAUGACAGUACCGGGAGAAUAAGCCCCGGCUAACUCCGUG